This 920-nucleotide long non-coding RNA is filed under the name Oryza sativa (Asian cultivated rice). RNAcentral's name for it is "long non-coding RNA (OSAT_LNC000624)". The record is from RNAcentral. Lineage: Eukaryota; Viridiplantae; Streptophyta; Magnoliopsida; Poales; Poaceae.
GCGGAGAAGGGCGGCGGUGUUGCGCGCGGGCAGGGAGGCGCUGGGGAGAGGAGCGGCAUCGUCGCGCGCUAGGCGGACAGGCAGGAGGGCGCGGCGCGGCGUGCGCACGCGCAGGGAGGCGCGGCAGCCCCGCGGCCAGUGCGCAGGAGGGCGCGGAGCAGCGGGCGCACGCGCAGGGAUCAAAACUUUUGUAAUUCAGGGGGAGGAGGACACCUGCAGCUUCGUCUUCCUCCGUCAGUGCCUUCGCUACCGCCUCCUAUUCGCAGAGGUGAUUUGAUCGAUUCAGCUUGGAGUUGCAUUGAGCCAUUGGUUGGGGACGCUGAUUUCAUCUUCUUGAUUGCGAAUCGGGGAUGGAUGUGAAUGUGAUUUGCGGGUUUGUAGGCUGACUGGGAAGGUCGCCGUCAUCACCGGCGGCGCCAGCGGCAUCGGCAGGGCGACGGCGGAGGAGUUUAUUGUCCCAAAUAAUGUGUUCUAAUCAUAUGACGGAGAUGCUGUACAUAUUGUCCCAAAUAAUGUGUUCUGUCAUCUUUUUUAAAUUGUGUCAAAAUUAUUGCUAAAAUUCUGUCAAAACUAUCCUAAAUAUAGUGUUCUGUCAACUUGUACAAAAUUUGUCUAACAUUUAGGUCCCAUAUUAAAUACGCACAAAUUUAACUUGAAACAUGUCCGGUGUUCAUGCCAAAAUUAUAGUAGAGGUAUAUUUGUCCAUUCACUACACAUUUAAAACCAUUACAUGAGGUAACAUAGUAGGGGCAAGCAGCUGCUUCAUUUAAAAAAGCAGGGGCAAUAUUACAAACCCUAAAAAAAAAAGGGGUAAAAUCACAAUUGAACUGUAAAGCGGGGUAAAAUCACAAUUGAACUGUAAAGCAAGGGUAAGAACACAAUUACCCCUAAAAUAAAUAUGAUAUGAAUAUUACACAUUA